UGAGCAAUCUGCCCUUCACUUCGGGAUAACUCCGGGAAACCGGUGCUAAUACCGAAUACGACCACUUCAGGCAUCUGAUGGUGGUGGAAAGUUCCGGCGGUGAAGGAUGAGCUCGCGGCCUAUCAGCUAGUUGGUGUGGGUAACGGCCCACCAAGGCGACGACGGGUAGCCGGCCUGAGAGGGUGACCGGCCACACUGGGACUGAGACACGGCCCAGACUCCUACGGGA
This 229-nucleotide ribosomal RNA is filed under the name uncultured bacterium. Its description in RNAcentral is "partial 16S ribosomal RNA". It matches the Rfam family "Bacterial small subunit ribosomal RNA", at positions 118 to 346 of the family's 1533-position model. The record is from RNAcentral.